This 1218-nucleotide ribosomal RNA is filed under the name uncultured Rhizaria. RNAcentral describes it as "SSU rRNA". It matches the Rfam family "Eukaryotic small subunit ribosomal RNA", at positions 577 to 1805 of the family's 1831-position model. The record is from RNAcentral.
CGGUAAUUCCAGCUCCAAUAGCGUAUACUAAAGUUGUUGCAGUUAAGAAGCUCGUAGUUGGAUUUCUGCGGGGACGGAGCGGCCAGUCGCAACUUGCGACUCGAGCUAGCGCUUUCCCCGCAUCCUGCCGCGAACCGUGCUACCAUUAGUUUGGUGGCGCUGGGGAUCGGCUCGAUUACUUUGAGAAAAAUAGAGUGUUCAAAGCAGGCCACACGCCUUGAAUAAGUUAGCAUGGAAUAAUGACUAAGGACUUCGGUUCUAUUUUGUUGGUGUUCGGGACUGAAGUAAUGAUUGAUAGGGACAGUUGGGGCGGUCUGUAUUCCAAAGCGAGAGGUGAAAUUCUUAGACCUUCGGAAGACAAACAGCUGCGAAAGCGUUCCGCAAGGAUGUUCCCUUUGAUCAAGAACGAAAGUUGGGGGAUCGAAGACGAUCAGAUACCGUCGUAGUCUCAACUAUAAACUAUACCAGCUAGGGAUCGGUCAACGUUUAAUUAUUCGACUUGAUCGGCACCUUAUGAGAAAUCAAAGCAUCUGGGUUCCGGGGGGAGUAUGGUCGCAAGGCUGAAACUUAAAGGAACUGACGGAAGGGCACCACCAGCCGUGGAGCCUGUGGCUUAAUUUGACUCAACACGGGAAAACUUACCAGGUCCAGACAUAGUAAGGAUUGACAGAUUGAUAGCUCUUUCUUGAUUCUGUGGGUGGUGGUGCAUGGCCGUUCUUAGUUGGUGGAGUGAUUUGUCUGGUUAAUUCCGUUAACGAACGAGACCCCAGCCUGCUAAAUAGCGCGGCUGAGCUUUGCUCGGUGCGAGCUUCUUAGAGGGACUAUGAUGCGCGAUAGCACAUGGAAGUUUGGGGCAAUAACAGGUCUGUGAUGCCCUUAGAUGUUCUGGGCCGCACACGGGCUACACUGGCGCCUGCAACGAGCAUAUCAGCUGGCCCGAGAGGGUCUUGGCUAAUCUUUUGAACCGGCGCCGUGCUUGGGAUUGACCUUUGCAAUUGUUGGUCAUGCAACGAGGAAUGCCUUGUAAACGCGAGUCAUCAGCUCGCAUUGAAUACGUCCCUGCCCUUUGUACACACCGCCCGUCGCUCCUACCGAUGAAUGUUCCGAUGAAAUUUUCGGAGAGCGCCAGAGAACGGGGCUCUGCCUUGCAGAUCUGGAGGCUCAAAGUCACUUAAAUCUGAACAUUUCGAGGAAGGAGAAGUCGUAACAAGGUAGCCG